RNAcentral lists this long non-coding RNA (20277 nucleotides) under Daucus carota (carrot). Its description in RNAcentral is "long non-coding RNA (DCAR_LNC005146)". Lineage: Eukaryota; Viridiplantae; Streptophyta; Magnoliopsida; Apiales; Apiaceae. The record is from RNAcentral.
CUGAGAUGAAUCUUUUAACCUUUGGUUGAUUUAUCCUAUGGUAUAUUGAAUUGAUUAAUUUCUAUGCAUGUGCAGACAUUAUUUGGGAUUUUUGCCUGGGGUUGUUCUUGAUACAUUAUAACGACUGGUAUGUGUCCUUAAUCUCAGCAGCUACAUUAAUAUCAGCUUCUAGUUUGUUAUGUAAUUAUUCCCUUUUACGGUUCAGUGUGCAAAAUGUUUCAAAUGGAGACUGAUGCCGUCAUAGGAAAAAAUACAUCCUAACUAACCAUCAUAAAAACUUUUCACUAAAUAUCAUAAAAACUGGUAUGUUUUAUGAUCGAAGGUGUACUACUACAAGUUACUGAACUUUUAACUAAAUAUUAUUUUCUUACUUUUUUCAUUUCACAUUAUACUAGAAAUCUAGUAUAAAGUUCGUUAAGAAAUUGAGAUUGACCUUUUGGUGCCCACUUUCCAGAAUAUUAAUUGUCCCAGCCUUGAGUGCAACAGCCAAGGUAAAAAAGUAUCAAACAAGAUUGUAAUCAGGACUUCUCCACUAACUAACCAUCGUUUCCAUAAGCAAGAGUCCUUGAUCCAGGGCUGAUGAUCUGUAGUGCUCUGUGAAAUCCAUCCCCAGGUUCUGCAGAAACUGAACUCACUUCUGUUAGAUGUCAAACUCUCUGGAAGGUAAAUAAUAUCAGCAAAUCUUGAAAACAGAUGUAGUAGCAUGAAAGGCAGAAAAAUAAAAGACGCAGCAGUGAAGUCGAAGCCGGUGGACAACUCUGAAGGAUUUUUAUUUAGUCCAUGUUAUUAACUAUAACAGCUUGCUUUGUGUAAACUCAAAAUCAAGACUACGUGCAUGCAUGAACCAGCUUGGAUUCCUUAAAACAAGGUAGGCUACACACGGCUUGAAUAAAUGGAAGGUUGAAAAAUAAAGAUAAGGAGAGCAGCUGCAUAAAUGUGUAUUCAAUAUAUAUCCUAAAAUUAUGGUGGGCUGUAGAAAUAUGAAGCAGGUUUAUUAAUUGUAAACAUACAUAAGUGAAUAGGUGUGCAGGUGUUAGACAGGCUUAUUAUGGUACUGCAUGCAUGCAUAGUAAGAUAUACAAGUUUGUAAAACACAGAAGUGAUGAGAAGAGCUGAAGCUCUUUGCAUGCUGUAGCGUGAAUUUGUUAUAAAGAAUAAGCCGUAGCUUUAUCUACUAAGAAAAAGUGUGAUGUUGAGUUUAUUUUCUUGUUAAAUCAUUACUAUACUAUUUAUAUAUUUAGUGUGUGAAGCUUAUCACGUUUCCAACAACACCUAGCUCAUGUAGCAGAUUGUAUUUUUCCUUGAUUUUCAGGACCCAGGAAUCACCUUGAAUAAUUGUGAGAUUCUACUUAGUUUCUCAUCAAACUAACAAAUAAAAUAUCCCAUUAAUUUAAGGAUAUUAGACAACAGGUAUCUCAAAAUAUUCUAUAAUUUGUGAGAAUUGAUGCCUAAUGGUCCAGAGAAUAACUUAUGCAUGUGAAAGACAAGAUAGGGACAUAGUUAGACUUCAUAUAGCCAUCUCUUGUUUUUCAUUUAUUCCAACUAACACAUUUUUUCUUUCAGUAUAGCAAUCUUCAAUGACUGUUCUUUGUUCUUUGAAGCAAUAUUUUUCUUUCACCUUAUCAAACGGGAAACCAAAAACUGAACCCUAUGAAAAGAAGAUAAAGAUAUAGAGAAAAAAUAAUGUCAAAAUAGAAGUAAGAAUGUGACCCAUUUAUAAAUUUUAAUUACCGUCCUAUUCCUAGGGCAUGAGUAGGUUUUGAUUGGACGCCAAUUUUAAUUUUCAGUGUAGCAGUCAUUUUUGAAUUUUGAAUUUUUGGUGGAUUUUUCAAUUUUUUAUGAGUUUUAUUUCCUAACAAUUUCGGAAAGAUUUGAUUCACCCUAAUAUUGGACUAAUUUAUAAUCAUUUCAAAUCUUUUACUUUGGACGGAUAUUUUAUAUUGGUAAGUUUUGAUCGGGCCACAUAUUUAAUUUUUUCAUAUAAUUUUAAGGAAUAUGUCAACGAAAUAUAGUCAACUUAGUCAACCAAAAAAUAUAAUUAAAUUAUUUGAUUUCUUAUAUUUUAUUAAUAUCUAAUUUAAUGAAUUUCACUAUGCAAAAGCAGACCCUGUGUUGGGCCAUCUGGAGGGCUCGCAAGGAUCUAGUUUGGAAUCAGAAAUUCUCAUCUGUUAACAAGAUAGUGGCAGCAGCGAAACACAGGCUUACACAAUUUACAAUCGCCCUGAGCAGGUCUUCUAGCAUUCUUCUUGAACCACAUGCUAAUAGAGAUGGAGUUACUAGCUUCCUGGGUAAAUCCCCAACCAAACACAGUUAAGGUGUCCGUUGAUGCAACUAUUUUUGAAGAUAGGUCUGAAGUUGGUUUCGGAAUGGUCGCUAGAGAUUCAGAUGGAAGAUUGAUAGAAACAAAAGUCUUAACGAAGUCGGAGUGCAUUAGCCCAGUUCUUGCGGAGGCCAUAGCUGUGAAGGAAGCCUUAAGCUGGAUUGAUUAGAAGAAAUGGUUAGGAGUUACCCUCGAGUCUGAUUGCUUGGUUGUGGUUCAAGCCAUCAGGUCAGCAACUCCAAUGCGGUCUCAUUUUGGAGUGAUUAAUUAGGAAUGUCGAAGUUUUAUGCAGUGUCAUGUUCAAUUGUUAUUUGUCAAGUGUUCUACAAAAUAUGGUUGCUCAUCAGCUUGCUUAGGGAAUUUCUUUAUACCUAGUCGUAUUUUUGAUAGGUCGUCUGUUACUAUCAAUAUUCAAGCUUGUAUUGAGAUGGAGUUGAGUUAAUAAAAUCUCUAGCUUUUCGUCAAAAAAAAAAAAACUAAGAAGUCGUUUGUUUUGGUGAGGAAAAUUUUGAUGGAGUGAUAAAUCUAAAUAUUCAACCGAUGAUUUUGUUUGUUAAAAAUAAUUUUUUUUAAUGACACAAUUUAUUGUUUUUCAAGAUUAAUUAUUAUAAAUUCAAAAUUUUGGAAAAAAAUAUCAUUACUUAUUCUAAUAACACACAUUAUUUGAUUAGUUUAUAUGUCUUUUGCAUAAUUUUUUGUUAUAUUAGUUCAUUUUUAAAUAAUAAUCUCAUGUUAUUUUGAUGUAAAAUUCACAAUCAUUUUAAUUUUAAUAACAUGUAAAUUAUGAAAAAUGAUAUAGAUAUUAUUAACAAAAAUUAUCUAGUUAAUCAUAAAUAUAAAUAAUUCUCAUAAUGAGGAUAUUCAUUUAUGUAAAAAAGUGUAUAAAAGUAUGAUUGUUGCUGCUUGUAAUUCUAUUACCAUUCACUUCAAUAAAAGUAGUGUGGACAAAAAAAAUGUUACCAAACACUUUUUUAUUCACUUCGCUGGGCUUGUUCACUCUUAAACAUAUGGGCCCGAAAAAUAUAAAAAUCAAACUAUCUCUCUUCCAACUUAUUCUUCAAUGGGCUCAUUUACCCUUGAACAAAUGGGCCUAAAUAAAAAGCAAACUGUAUAUAAAUCCCUCUUCCUGUUGUCUAGGGUUAUAUACUUAUGGUUUUUAUAAGAGGUUUCGGCUGCGGCGCCUCCAUUAUUGAUGAAUCUGUGGACAACGAGUUGGGAGAGUCUCAAAAUAAAGAACCAGAGGACCGCAAAGGUGAUACCUAUAUACAUUUCUAUAAAGUUUUCUCAUUGCUUUUGAUUAUUAUUUUUUUGGUGAAUCUUUUUUUCGGCUGGAAGACCUGGAUUUAGUGUUACUGUUAUGUUUAGGAUUUCUUAUGUUGAUUCCAAACAUUUAAUUAAUUUUUUAGCAAAGUUUAUAUUCCAUCUUUCUGUAUAUGUUUGUAUUUGAAAAUGUAAUUGUAAUAUGAUUGUUAAGUUGCAUUUGUGAUUUGUAAAUAUUCACCAUGAAGGAUAGUAGUUUUUUGAUUUUUAAGUAAUUUACUUUAUGAUGAGUAUUGAAUUGAUAAUUUUCUCUUUGUAGACGUUAUUUCAGAUUUUUGGGGCGGGGGUUGUUCUUCGUGUAUCAAAUAGAGGCUGAUUCUAUCAAAUAAAAAUUACAAGGAUAUAAGUGAAAACAUACCAUAGCAAUAUAUGAAAUAUUGUGUGUUGUGUUAGUGUUGUAAGUAUAAUUUAGUCUUAUUCAUCUUUUUCAAAAAAAGUUAGAUUUAUAUUUUGCUAAUUCAGAACUAAAAGCUUAAUAUGGCCUACUAACUAUAUGUUAAUAUAUAUAGUUGCUUACAUGAUAUGAUUGAUUUUUGUUGCCAUGUCUACUCUCCUUUUGUAAAAUAUAAAUUUUGUGUGCAGUUUUAUUUUGCGAGUAUAAUUAAUUGUCUUUUUGUUUAUGUACCCUUCAAAGCAUAAAUAGAUAGUCGAUUAUUUAAUAAGUUCGAUUUCAUAGACUUUCUUAUUAGUCCCAAUUAUAAUAGAUACUAUAUAUUUUACGGGCAAGUACUAUUAUUUGCUUUGGAUUGUAACUAGGUCACAUUUCAUGUACUUGCUCAGCUUUAUUUUAUUUUAUUUGUGACUUGUGAAUGAUUUUUUCUAUUUAUGUUGGCUAGGGUGGAUAACAAGUGGCAAGGAAGACGAGGAUUUCACAAAGAAAGAGGAAAUGAAAAUGUUGCUAAUGGUAAAAUCUUGAAUCUACGUAGAAUCUUGGAAACAUAUCUCCAAUGAUGAGCUUACAAUUUUAUUGUGACAAACAUUGAAUUUUCUCUCUAUAAUUCCCAUAUUGAAUAUAUCUAAUAUCUUCAAAAUGAUUUAUGAUAGAUUUUUUUAAUAUAACUCCCCUAUCAUAUUCUUUCAUGUUCAGCUAACACCUAUCAAUGAAGUACUUCAAGCAAAUAAUGAAGAAAAUGCUCCAAAAAAGAUUGAGAAUCAGAUGUCCGCGAUAUAUAUUUUAAGGUAAUAUUAUUUUACUUUUAUAUAAUGAAAUUAUUUCAUGUUAAUUGAUUAUUGAAUUUAUGUUAAGGGUUGAUAUGGUUAUGUCCUUAAAAAUUUGUUGGCUUGUACCUAUUGCAAGGUACAGAACUUGCAAAUCAUGUAAUAAAUUUUUUGAUUAUAUCUUUUUUUCCUCGCUUACAUUUGAUGGGAUCAGGGAGUAUAUAUUAAAAAGAAAGAAGAAAAUUUAAUGUAUGAGUAAGGCGAAAACCUUGAAGCUAGACAUCAUCAUAUUCUGGUGUUAUUUGAUUGUUUGUGGUGUCAAAUCCAAGUAUCAAAACUAAAUAAUAUAAUAAAUAGUCAAUAAACUCCAUUAGGCCUUCUAGGUGGCGUAAAUAUAAGUUCUGGCUGUUGACAACUCAUGAACAUGAAGUAUUACUAUUGAUAGUUGGGUAGGAAUUAAUGUAUGUUAAAAGGAAUUAGCAGUGUUGUGAAAAGCGCGCCUAGGCGAGCGCCUAGGCGCAAAGCGAAGCAAAGCGCACCCUUAGCGCCUCAUAUAUAUCGAGGCGAAGCAACUUCAAUGAAGCGCACGCUUUUAGCCUUGAAGCAUAAAGCACGCUUAAGCACGAAGCGGUAGAAAAGCGCGCUUCAGCGAAGCUAAGCGCAUAGUAAGAUAUUUAAUGUUAUUGGGCCACUUUUAAGGCCCAAAAGUACUAACCCAUAACAAAAAAAAGAAAUUUGGGUCACUUUCAAGGCCCAAAAGUACUGACCCAUAACAAAAAAAAGAAUUUUAGGCCCAAAUAAAAAGGCUAUGUCAGGCUCUUAGCUUUCAACAACUUUAAAAGGGGAAAAGCCUAGCCGUUCAAAAUAACCCCAAUCCUUCAAGUUCAAAACAGAGCAGAGGUAAGAGGCCUCGACGUUUAAUAGAUGAGGACGAAGAAGAACAAGAGUUUGAAUUUGAAAAGAUCACUUUAAUACAUGAAGAAGAGUCAGGUCAGGAUUUUGAAGAUGAAGACUUCGAUGAAGAUGACUUUGGUGAAGAUGAUUGAUAAAAUAUCUACAUGUUGAGAGCUGGAAGCCUGAAAUUCUGCCUAUGAAACAUAAAUUUUGAAUUUUAAUAUUUAAUUUUAGGAUUGUUUUUCCCUCUAAAAGUAUUAUUUAAUAUAUUAUAAAGGAUAAAUUAAGUUAUUUUUGGCUUAAGUGUGAUUUAAUAUAUUAUGAAGUAUAAAUUAUGUUAUAAACCUAUAUACAUAUAUCCUAAAUAAUAAAUUAAAAAAAUUUGUAAAACAUGCGCCUAGCUUUAAAGAAGCGCGCGCCUCGCUUUUGCGCUUUGCGCCUAGGCUCCAGAGAGUUUUGCGCCUCGGUGCGCUUAAUGCUUUCGAUAACACUGGGAAUUAGUAAUACCAACGAAAAUUUAAAUUUGAACAUUCGAGCAAUAAUGCAAAUUAAAACCUCCUGUAGUUUACAUUAAUUUGGAUUGCACUUAAGUUGAGUUAUAAUGCAUGCGCGACCUAUAGUUUCUCUUUCUUUGUUUGUCUAUAAUCAACACAUGGAUAGUUGGGUAGUUUCUUGUAGUUUACUAUAGAUACUUGGGUAAAAGUGCAUGUCUUCUUUCUUUGUUUUCUCCUGUAGUUUUUGCAACAUGUUCAUUCACUAUAUGCUGCAAUUGACCGCCCUUCUCUGUGCAGGCCAGGGUCUUUGGUAGUCUACAAUCCUCCUCCUCCGCCACCGCCUCCACCAUUCAGAUCUGGUCGUUUCAAACUACCGGAAGGUUGGGAGGUUGAGGAGGUGCCUCGCGCUGACGCUUCUCGUAUUGACAAGGUCCUCUUUCCAUUUCCCUACUCAUUUAACUUCUCUAAUCAUGUUUUCAAUAUUCCGGCUCAAUCGAAGUUCAGUCUGAGUUAGGCUCUUAUUGGUUCGGCCACUUGUGUUUAUGUGCACCUGCGUUACAAUUUAGCUUACUAUCUCUUAUGAUUGGUUUGAUUUGGAUUGUGAGUGGGGUUAUAUCUGUGUGUGUAUGUUUUAACUAGAAAACUUCAUGCGAAAAAUGAUAAGAAGGCCUUUGAGAUUCAAAAGUUUAUUCCUAAUAAAAUUAGGUACAUGGUCCUGGAGCUGACUUAGACACCUUGUGUGUUGGGCCUUAUAAUGUGAGACUAGAGGUACGUGAAAUAUAAAUUUCUUUAAGUAGUGUAUAAAUAUGGCAAGUACCAGAACAUCGUGUUAAAUUAAUUUGGUUGUUUGCGUUCUUUUCUCUACAGGAAUGUUUUUCCUCCUUGCAUAAAAUUUUGGCUAAAAUGGAUGAAGUUACCAAUCUGCAAACUAUUAUGGAUUCUUAUGUCCCAGUAAUGAAAUUCAAGUUCCAAGGAAUAUUGAUUGAUCUCGUUUAUGCUCCUAUAUAUCUUCGGGGUGUUCCAAAUGUAAGUGUCAGGACAACCUUUUAAUCUAAACUUAUUUUCGUAGUUUAUUGGUAUAUCUAGUGACAAAAAAUAAUAUAAUCUAUCAUUUAAAUCGUUAACUCUUAUUCUAAUGAAGACUAUGUGAUUUGCCCUUCAUUUGGUGUCUCAAGAGUAGCACUGAACAAUGAGCCUUGUAAUAAGUCAAGUCGAUCUAUCUUUAGUACUCAUGCAAAAGGCCUUCUUAAUUACACUUUAGUGCUAGAAAAGAGUUUGCAUCUUUGUAAGCAAGUGAUCCCAAUUAAUGUCAUAUAUAUAUACUGUUGAUUCAGCUAACAUGUUUGUAUAGAUGACGAAUAGAUAAUCAAAUUGUUAUGCCACAUAUGAUUAGCUUACUCACUCCAUCUUCUAAAGGAUGUUGUCAGUGAAAUUGCGCAAUUAUCACAAAAAUUCUUGUAAUUAAACAAUAGAAAUAGAUAAGAGUUGAAAUAUACUCUUAAUUUACUAUGUUGCACCAUAUUUGUGUAUGCCAUUGUAUGCCUUUUCUCACAAUCAAUGAAAUCUUAUUAGGAAUAUGCUUAAUUUUAACUAGAAUAUAUAUGGUGGCCAUUGAUGUCCAGGAAACUUUUACCCUCCCUUACCAGCUAAAAAGUAUAGCUAGAUAUAGAAGUGCCUUUCAGCCAAAAAUUAUAGGUGGAAGUGGAAGCACCUUCAGGCUAUAAUUUUGUGCCAACCAGGAAAUGAUGGCUGGUUAAAUGGUCCUGGACAUUGAUGGACAGGGACCGAGAACCUUAAAAUAUUAGUCCAAGCCGCUACUGCUUCUCCAAAUAGAACCCUUGGUUUGUUUAGUAGCCCUUUAAUUGAAAUCAAGUGAUAAACAUGAUGUAAAUUAGAGUUGCCUGAAAAACUCAAGUGUUAGAUUGUACAUAGCCUCAAAUAAGAUAUAUUGAAAGCUGUCGACCUAACUAAAUCUGUAUAUAUAUUGACUGUCGCUGGCUUGUUGCCAGAUGCUGAAACUUGCAGAUGAGAAGGCCCAAAUAAGUACAAAAUGGCGAUUGUUCCCGCUAGAAAGACCCCAUUUAGCUCCCCUUACAAGCUACCUGAAGGUUGGGUUGUGGAGGAGGUACCUCGUAACACCCAUGAGGGCUAUGUUGAUAAGGUAUGUUCUUUCCCCAAAAUAUUGCCACUUCAUUUUAGCCUUAUAAAGCUGGUGUUUCUUCGAACUAUAGUUCUUGUAGUUACAAUUUUCAUCUCUGUUGCCAGCAAUUUAGAGGAUUUUGCAAUUUUCUCAAGAUAACUAUUUGGAUGAGUACAACUCAGCAUGCUAAAUCCAAUUAAUUAGGUCUUGAGUAUUUUAGGGUGCACUAAGAAAAGGUGUGGUAUCAAGUAUUUAGGUGUAUGCCUUUUUUUCCUUUGAACUUCAUUACAUUCCAAAUUUUCAUCAAUAUUAGCUUUUUCAAAGUGUUUGUUAUUUGGGUUCUGGUUCCAUUGUUGAUUUGUUGCUUUUUAAGUUUCUAUUAUAGCCUUGCUAGUUCAUUAGAUUAUUCUUUCUAUCAUUUUCUGAAUUUGAUGGUGUAGUUCAUAUGCGAAUGCUGUUAGGAAAAGGAACUGCAUAUGCUUUAACCACUUUUUUGUCUUUUUUUGAUACACUCCUUAAAACUUUUUAUCGAGUAAUUGUGUUCAUUUCUGUAACUUGCAUCUUAUUUUAGAGAGUAGCUCCUACAUUUAUAUAAUGCACAUGUUUGCAUAAUAUGUGUUAGUAUGAGAGUUUUUACUUAAGUUUUCAUUCUGAAUUUUGAAACUUCUUACCACGUGAACAGUAUAAGGAAUUGAUAUUCUUUCGCAUUGCAGGCCAAGGUCUUAUUUCCCUAGUUGAGUGUGGAAAGAAACACUGUAGAGUGCGCUAAAAAAGGAAUGAUAUUGAGUAUUUGAGUGGCUUUGCCUCAUGAGGCGGAAUGAGUGGCCUUGCCUCAAUUUUUUUGACUCGAAGGCCUUUUCAAGAAAACUACGUGAAAAGCCGAACACCUCAUAUUGCUUUUCCCGAUGGGGGUACUAUGAGGACUCCCAGAUCUUCUGAUCAAGAGAGGCCCUUUUCAUGGGCACAUCCAGAAGCAACUACAGACUUGUAGCUCGGAAUGCUAGACUAUAGUUCUCUCUAUCAGACCCUGAACCUGUAGAACCAAGUUGACAGAUGUACAAUGUUGGUUACACAUAUGAACCUGCCGCCAAGACGAAAGGAGAAGAAUCUAGGCAUACGGGAAAAUGGUUCAUCAUACGGAUUUAGUUGGUUUGUUGACACGUGUAGAGAAGAUGAUGUUUAAGAAAAUAUUCUAUUUACCAUGUUUGUGUGUUCAUAAAAAAAAAAGUUGUCUAAUUUUUUUUUGUUUGUACUUGUAUUACUGGUUAGCUGUUUUUUAUUUUAAAUAUGGUUAUUGUAAAAGAUAUACAAUUAAAAUAGAAAUGCUAGUGACUAGAUAUACUUGUCUUCAUGAAUGGUACAUGAAUUUUAUAUAGUGCAUUUUAGCUGCGACAUGUUAUGAUAAUCGCCAUGAGAAGCCUCGUGCUUUUAAUUAUCACCAAGCUUUUACUUCCUCAUCAACAAGACUGUUAUCUGCUUCUUGCUUUUGAUUUCAUCUAGGAGCUCUCCCCUCAGUCAUCCUAAAACCCUUGAUUAGCAUCAGUUUCUGUUGUUAUCAUCCUCAAACUCUUAAUCAGCAUCAGUUCUUGUUAUCCCACAACGCUUGUCACCUUGUAGAUGAUCAUCAUGGUAACAACUGCUUAGGUGUCUGAGUGUGACAAUAUUAAAAAAUAGUUGUAUUAAGUCAAAAUACUUGUCCUUUGAUUAGAUGAAAAUUUUUCGUAUAUAAAAGAAGUUCUCUGAUACUUUCAGUAUUUCGGUACAAUUCACGGCUAGGGGUCAUUUGGUUCGUGGGUAUCUCUCAAUUAUGGGGAUUGCCCAUUCCAAACUCAUACCUACUGUUUGGUUAAAAAAAAGAAAAUACCAAACUCAUAUCUUAAACCCUCAACGUAUGAGUUUUUGAUACCCAAGUGGGGAGGUGGUUAUGAGAUGGAGGUAUGAGAUGCAUUCAUUUUUUAUUUUUUUUGUCUCUAUUUAAGUAUGAAAUAUUAAUAUUUUAUACAAAAUUAAAUCAAUGAUGCAAAAUAUAUAAUAUUGUAUAUACUGAUUCCAGCACUCAACCAAAACAUAUGAUAUAGAUAUGAUACUCAAACUCAUACUAGUUUAACCGAUUCUUUGUUCCAACUCCGUACCACUCCUCAAAUCAAACGACCCGAAAAGACAAUUAGAAACCGAUACUUGACCUGUAAGGAUAUUCUUUUAUUUACAUAUAAUUAAUUGCCCCAAUAUUUGAAGUAAUUGGUAUGUGUAAAACAAACUUAAAAAUAGAUAUAAUAAUUCAUCACAAUAAGAAAUUCAUGAAAUGGGCUAUGUCAAAAUUUAAAUUUAAAAAAAAACAUCUUUCCAAAUUUACUUUACAUAAAAUAAGGGACUAGGUGUUAUUUACUCUUUAUGUUAUGCUCCCUUCGUCCCGUGGUUGUUUACGUUCACUGUUUUCACGCAUUUUUGAGGUUCCUAUAAAGUAUAAUUUUAUAACUUUUUUAAAAAAAAUUCUUUUUUUGAAUAAAAGUUUAGACAUCAAACUUUUAUUCAGAGAAAAAAAAUUAAAAAAAUAUAUUGUGAAACUAUACUUUAAAUGAGUGUGAAAAAACGUGCCAAAAAUUAACGUAAAGAAAUGAGAGGAACGGGAGCAAAGUUUUUGAGAGGCUUAGUAUUAAAAACUUAGUUGACAUGUUCACUACUCACUAGCCGGAUAGGAACUGAAACACUUUUAUUUCUUAAUCAAUACUCGCUCUGUCUCAUGAUAAGAGUCGCUUUGACUUUUUACAUGUAAUUUGAGAUGAAAAAAAAAACAUACUUUUAUAUAUUAUUUUUAAAAUUUUUUUUGAAUAAAAAUAUAAAUGUUAAACUUUUAUUUGAAAAAAGAAUUUUCAAAAAAUAAUAUGAAAAGGUAUGUUUUUUGUACACCUCAAAUUACGUGUAAAAAAUCAAAGCGAUUCUUGUUAUGGGUCAGAGGGAGUAUUGAUUAAGAAAUACUUCAUAUGACCCUCUCAUUUCUUUACUUACUUUUGGGCACGUUUUUCCACACUCAUUUAAAGUAUAGUUACAUAAUUUUUUUUAAAAAAUUGUUUUCUCUGAAUAAAAAUUUGAUACUUAAACUUUUAUUCAAAAAAGGAAAAUUUUAGAAAAAGUUCUACAACUAUACUUUAUAGGAGCCUCAAAAUGCGUGCAAACAGUGAACGUAAACAACGAGGUAGUAUAUAUUACUCCCACAUAAAUAUAUUUUCGAAAUUAAAUUAUAUGUUUUUAAACACAUAAAAAAUGAAUAUUGCAUGUUCGGAUUUCUCACUUGAAAGAGAAUCAUUAUAUAUUUAUUUUAGUUUUGAGGAUGGUGGAUAUAAACAAGGUAGCCCACUUCCUAUACAUACAUGUAUUAUUUCAUUCCGCUCUAAAUCAACCAAAAAAUUAGGAUGAAGAGUCACGCUGUAUCCGAUAAUAAUACUCUUUGGUUUCAGGUUGAAAUUAACCAAGCCAAAGACCUUUAUUUCUCUGUCACGAAAUAAAGGUCUUUCGACCCUGAAGGUGGGACUCUCAACUCCUUCACUAAAGCUUGGUUUUUCUGCUUAUAAAAACAGGAAUCAGUUAGAUCCGGGAACAUGAUACUAGACCCCCUUAAUCCACAACUCACACUAAUUAAAUUCUUGGCUUGGUCACUUCUAGCAUCCAUAUAUGUAGCAAGAUUGUAUUUUUCUUUGAUUUUCAGGACCCCGGGAAUCACCUUGAAUAAAUUGUGCGAUUCCACUUAGUUUCUCAUUAAGAUAUAUAAGAAAUAAAAUAUCCCAUUGAUUUAUGUUGGGAUUCUCAUUCUUUGUGUAUUGUUGCAUUUAUAUAUAUAUAUAUAUCAAGUAUAUCGAUAGUUUUAUUUACAACAAUUUAUAGCAUAUCAAACAACAGGUAUCUCAAAAUAUUCUAUAAUUUUUUGAAUUACUGCCUAAUGGUCGAGAGAAUAUCACUUAUGCAUGUGAAAGGCAAGAUAGGGACAUAUUUAGACUUCACAUAGCCAUCUCCUGUUUUUCAUUUAUUAUAACUAAGAGGCCGUUUGGCUGAGUUUAUGACUUAUGGCUUAACGUCAUUUAUGAACUUAUUUGAUAAGUUAGAAGUUUAAAAUGUCUGUUUGGUAAUUUUGACUUAUUAACGGCUUAUGGGUUAUUAAAAAUAUAAUAAUAAAAAUACCUAAAAAUAAAAGUGUUUUAGGAGUAACUUAUGACUUAUGGGUAAUUUUUAUACCCCUCAUUCUUGUAAAUAUGAAAUUUUUUGUGCAGUAUUAUUUUGAAAGUGAAUAAUUUAGUAGUUGUGCACCUUCAUAAAUGGAUAGUCGAUUUUGAUUUCAUAAAUCUUCUUAUUAGUCCCAAUUAUAGUAGAUGCCAUGUAUUUUAAGGACAAAUACCCUUUGAUUGUAAGUAGGUCACAUUUCAUGUACUCUUGCUCAGCUUUAUUUUUUUAUUUGUGGCUUGUGACCGAUCUUUUCUAUUUGUGUUCGUAGGGUGGCUAGCAAGCUGGACGGAAGACGAGGAUUUCGAAAAGAAAGAGGAAAUCAAAAUUUUUGUAAUGGUAAAAUCUUGAAUCUACUUAUUGUCAUUUUCUACAUACAUAAAAUCUAGGAAACUUUUCUUCAAUGAUCAGCUCACAAUUUAUUGUGGCACACAUUGAAUUUUCUCUCUAAAAUUCCCACAUCAAGUAUAUCUAAUAUCUUCAAAUAAAUUUAUGAUGGAUAUUUUUAGCAUAACUCACCUAUCAUAUUCUUUUGUGUUCAGGUAACAUCUAUAAAUGAAAUAUUUGAAACAAAUAAUGAAGAAAAUGCUCCAAAAAGGAUUAUUUUAAGGUAAUGUUAUCUUACUUUUAUAUAAUGAAAUUAUUCCAUGUUAAUUGAUAUACAUUGUUAGGUAAAGAACUUGAAAAAUCAUAUAAAGAGAAUUUUUUCAAUAUAUUUUUUUACUUGCUUACAUUUGAUGGGGUUAGUGAGUAUUAAAAAGCAAGAGGAAAAUUUUAUGUAUGAGUAAGGCGAAAAGCUUGAAGCUAGAUACCAUCAUAUUCAGGUAUUAUUUGAUGGUUGUUAGUGUCAAACCCAAGUACAACUAGCUAAUAUGAUAAGUAGUCAAUAAACUCUAGGAACCAAUCUGAAAGAUUAAAAUCUCCGCCUAGACACUCUUAUGACCCCAGUUUACCGAGAAAACACUCUCGAGAAGCAGAGCUGCCAAGGAAACAAUCCCAAGAUCCAGGGCCACGAAGACCACCUUGCAGACCAGAGUCUGACCACGACCAUCAAAAAGAACAACCCCCCACCAUCAAGAAGACCGUGACGCCCACAAAUCGGAGUCAUUAUCCACCACACCCCGAUGCGUCAAGCUGAACCACUACUAAAACUCAGCUGUACCAGUGUCAAAGACGAGAAGAGUUGCCCUGAGCAUGAGGUAGCACGCAAGAAGCUAAAAACCGUGACCUCCUCUUCUGCAGCUCUCUCAGAUGAACACGAAGAAGAUCAUCAUAAAAACCGGGCAGCAAAGGCGGCACCAAAGAAUAUCAUUAGCAGCACCAGUGGUGAUCAUGUAGAAAAAUGCUACCAGUACAAUGCUGAGGAUGAUGAGUCAAGUGAAGAUGAAGAAGAUGAUCGCCACUUCAAGACGCGGCCAUCAAGGUAUGUCGCGGUAGAGGAGGAAAGGCAUUUUAGCAGACGAUCAAAACGAAGAGAAAAGGGCAGUCAUGGCAGCCAUAGUCACAAGAGAAGAGUUUUUAUUCUGAAGUUUGAAACUCCUUGCCACGUGAAGAGUUAUUACUUGCUAGAAUUGAUAUCUUUCACUAUGCGCAGGCCAAGGCCUUCUUUCUAGUUGAGUGUGGAAACAACAAAGAAACACCGUAGAGUGCGCUAAAAAAUGAUGUGAUAUUGAGUAUUUGAGUGUUACCUUUUCUUUUACCUUUAUUACAUUGCAAAUUUCAUCUAUAUUAGAGUUAUGUUUCUAUUGUAGCCUUACUGGUUUAUUUCUUGUUGAGUCAGGAACAAUGAUUGGCACCGGUUACUUUGCUUGUGCGUGGACUCCAAGAUGGCACCAAAUUGUUUUGGAUGUCAUACCAUUAGGCAAGGGACUUUGGUCCACAUUUGAAGUUCAAAGGUACUUCUUUGAACAUCCAUGCGAGGAAUGGGAAGGAGUCGCAGAAACCAAUUAGACAAUUGUACAAUGGUGGUUACUCAUAUAUAUGGACUUCGAGCAAGACCAAGGGAAUGGUGGUUACACGUGUAUGAACUUCUAGCAAGACCAAGGGAGAAGGACCUAGGCAAGGUUUAAAACUGGUUUAUGCUUUAUACCAUUUGUUAGUAGUCAAGUGUGUUAGUACAACAGUUCUAUCAGGCCUCGCGUUGAAAAACUAAGCUAAAUUUUCAGAUUUGGGAACUUAAAGAAUCUCAUGGUUUUAUCAAGAAGAGAAAUUAGGGAGAAUGGUGCAUUCUACAAUUGUAGUUGGUUUGUUGACCAGGGUAAAGAAGCUGUUGUUACUUUGGAAAAACAUAUUACUCAAAAUGCAUGUGGAUAAGUUGAAUUCUAAUUAAAGUAUUUGUUGUUGAAUAAAAAAAUGUCUAAUUAUUUAUCUUUUUUAGCCGGUGAUAUUCAGUUUGCAAGUUUUUUUCCAAAUAUUUUUUUACAGGUAUAUUCUCUUUCGGGUGCAUGGUUACAAAGUCCAUCUAGAUUUUUACCUUUUAACUUGAAAAGGAAAACUUAGUUAGAAGAUUUCAUGUAAUAAAACUUAUAAGUUAUAAAAAAAACGUUGUUAUAUAAAUUAAAGCAUAACAAGACAACGGAAUUAGUCGUCUUUUUAUUAAUGAUUAAAAUCAUUUACCCACUUUUGUUUUUUCUAAAUUCUUCUCGAGUUCAUUUGUAUUUAUUAAAGAUCAUGAUAUUCUUGUCCAUAUGACACACAAAAAUAAAGAAACACACCAUUUGACAAGAUUAUUGCUUGACAAUAGAGGUAGCCAAAUAAAAAAAAAUAAUUGACUGAUUAUUUACUUAUUUAGAAGCUAAACAGUCAAAAAGUUAUAUGUUAAGUUAGUUGUGCUAUUUGUUUUGUGACACUGGAGCUUACAUGUGUAAAGAAAGUAAAUCAAAGUGAGAGUGUGUGGAGCAGUGUAGUAAAGUAGGAACACUCCAAGGAUGGUAGCAGAAGGGUUAUUGUGAGAGACGAUGAAAUGAAAGUAGUCGUUAGAGGCCAUUCUUUAAAACAUUUUGAAUUUGGUUGGGCGCAGAAGUUAUUAAAAAUUUCACUAUUCCUUAUUGUUGUUGUUGAGCUAUUUUUGCUUUUUUAAAUAUCAGUUAUUCUUUCAUGUUCAGCUAACAUCUAUUAGUGAAGUACUUGAAGCAAAUAAUGAAGAAAAUGCUCCAAAAAUAGACACAAUAUAUAUAUUUCAAGGUAAUAUUAUUUUACUUUUAUAUAAUGAAAUUAUUAUAUAUUAAUUGAUUAUGGAAUUUGUGUUAAGGGUUGAUACGGUUAUGUUCUUAAAAAUUUGUUGGCUUAUACACAUUGUUAGGUACAGAACUCUCGAGAAGCAGAGCUGCCAAGGAAACAAUCCCAAGAUCCAGGCCACGAAGGCCACCUUGCAGACCAGAGAGUCUGACCACGACCAUAAAAAAGAACAACCCCGCCAUGAAGCCCACCACCAUCAAAAAGACCGUGACGCCCACAAAUCGGAGUCACUAUCAUUAGCAGCACCAGUGGUCCAUAGUCACAAGUAGAGACGAGAGAGGAGGGUGGCGCGUGCCAAACGUAGGAGUGUCGUGGACCAUGUUGUACAUUACAGGAGAAUAUCAUAUGCACGGGUGCUAAGAGAUCGUAAUACUUCGGAAUAUUUUUUUUCGUUUCUUUUUCUAAUUGUCGGAUUGGAUCCUUUUCGGCAUUUAACUUCAGAAUGAACUAUUCAAAUUAUUUCAUUUUUGAUGAUGAGUAAUGUUCAUUUCUCUAACUUGCAUCUUAUUUUAUGGAAUAGCUCCUACAUUUAUAUAAUUCACAAAUUAUAUAAUGUAGUGUACAUUUACGAAAUGUAGGAGCUAUUCCCUACAUUUACACAGAUUUGAGACCAUAUAAGAAGAGUACGAGAGGCUCAAAAAAUGUGUUAAUAUGAGAGUUUGAAACUCCUUGCCAGGUGAAGAGUUAUUAUUUGCGGGAAUUGAUAUUUUUCCCUAUGCAGGCCAAGGCCUUAUUUCCUUAGUUGAGUGUGGAAACAACAAAGAAACACUGUAGAGUGCGCUAAAAAAAGGUGUGAAUAUUGAGUAUUUGAGUGUUACCUUUUCUUUUACCUUUAUUGCAUUGCAAAUUUCAUCUAUAUUAGAUUUUUAAAAAUGUUUGUUAUUAGAGUUAUGUUUAGCCUUACUGGUUUAUUUCUUGUUGAGUCGGGAACAAUGAUUGGCACCGGUUACUUUGCUUGUGCGUGGACUCCAAGAUGGCACCAAAUUGACUUAUUGUGUUAAAGGAGAGGUUGUGUCUGAUUUCAGUUACAUUUUAUAUAUGAUGCUUGGAUGGUUAAUCAUUAAAUUUUGUAACUGAGUUUAGGUUGCAGGAUAUACUUAAUGGCUACAAGCAGGGGAAUGGUGUAGACUGUAGCAGCUCGCGAGUGGCGUCCUAAGCUGUCAGGUGAUGUUGACCCUGAUAUUCGGCUGGAUGGCAGCAGGUUAUGGGCAAUUGAAAGGCCUAUCAUUGCUCAAGCCCCUUUUAGGUGGGAGCCGCUUCUAAGAAUUAUGGGUUUUGAAUGUCUGUACCAUUAGGCAAGAGACUUUGGUCCAUAUUUGAAGUUCAAAGGUACUUCUUUGAAUUAACAUCCAUACGAGGAGUGGGAAGGAGUGGCAGCAACCAAGUGGACAAUUGUACAAUGGUGGUUACUCAUAUAUAUUGACUUCUAGCAAGACAAAGGGAGAAGGACGAGCCAAGGUUUAAAACUGGUUUAUGCUUUAUACCAUCUGUUAAUAGUCAAGUGUGUUAGUACAACAGUUCUAUCAGGCCUCGUGUUGAAAAACCAAGCUAAUUUUUCAGAUUUGGGAACUAAAAGAAUCUCAUGGUUUUACCAAGAAGAAAAUUUAAGGAGAAUAGUGCAUUUUACAAUUGUAGUUGGUUUGUUGACGAGGGUACAGCUGUUGUUACUUUGGAAAUAUAUAUCACUGAAAAUGUAGGUGGAUAAGUUCAAUUCUAAUUGCAGUAUUUGUUGUUGAAUAAGAAAAAUGUCUAAUUAUUUAUCUUUUUAGGUGGUGAUAUUCACUUUGCAAGUUUUUUUUCAAAUAUUUUUUUUACUUGUAUAUUCUCUUUCAGAUAUGUAUGGUUACAAAGUCCAUCUAGAUUUUUACUUUUUGACUUGAAAAUGAAAACUUAGUUGGAAAAUUUCAUGUAAGAAAACUUAUAAGUUAUAAAAAAAUAUUGUGAUAUAAAAUAAAGCAUCUAAAAACAAUGGAAUUAGAUGUCUUUUUAUUAAUGAUAAAAAUCAUUAACCCACUUUUAUUUAUUCUAAAUUCUUCUCGUUUAAUUGAGAUCAUUUGUAUUUAUUAAAAAUCAUGAUCUUGUGGGUAUGGCACAGAAAAAUAGAGAAACACCCCAUUUGACAAGAUUAUUGUAUGAUAAUAGAGGUAGCCAAAUAAAGAUAAAAAAUAAUUGACUGAUUAUUUACCUACUUAGAAGCUAAACAGUCAAAAAGUUAUAUGUUAAGUUGAUUGUGCUAUUGUUUUUGUGACACUGGUGCUUACCAUGUGUAAAGAAAGUAAAUCAAGUGAGACAGUGUGGAGCAGUGGAGUAGAGUGAAAACACUUCAAGGAUGGUAGCAGAAGGGUUAUUGUGAGAGACGAUGAAGUAGUCGCUAGAGGCCAUUCUUUAAAACAUUUUGAAUUUUGUUGGGCAGAAGUUAUUAAAAAUAUCACUAUUCCUGGUUGUUGUUGUUAGCUAUUUUUUAUUUUUUAAAUAUCAUGCCAGUGGUUGAAUACUUCUCUUCAUGAAUAAUACAUAAAAUUCAGUGCAUUUUAUUGCCAUUCAUGUCCACAUUUAGUAUUAAACAAUCAAUCUUUUCUACUUGAAAUCUUGUUCUUUUUUAUAAGAUAGUUUUACUGAGGCGGGUAAUUGGAUUCCAAGAAAAGCAAAGAAAACGACGACUUCCAUGAUUUGAGGUGCAUGGCUUCCAUUUAUUAUAAUCAUUAUAUUGAAUUGUGAAACACGACUAAAGCGUAACUGUGAUACCACCUUCAAGGCUUACUGUGACCUACUGUAAAUCAAGUAGAAGGUCUUGGUAUUAGCUGAAAAUUUUAAAGCUCGAACUGUCAAGGGCUUGGAAACCCUUGGACAGUCAAUGCUCUCAGGGAGUGGGUGCUGGAGGGGAAGGCCAGAUAUAACUUCUUUGUCGAGACAAUGACUAAUGUAUAUAGAUUGGAACAUGUACAAAUAUUUGUAGUUUUGUUAAAGGGUUUGUUUAAGUAGUGCAAUUUUAGUGUAUUGAGAUCGCAUACUCUUUUUAACAACUAGUAAUGUUUCAAAUCCAAAUCGAUGAUUUUUGAUUUUUGAUUUUGUGUCAACUGGAGUAGCUGAUGGUUUACAAGAUGCCAUGCCAGCACGCUCAACAAUUUUCUCAGCAUAUUUACGUUGAGAGAGAAACAAACCACCCUUGUGGCGAGUGACUGCAAUGCCCAAAAAAUGAUUUAAAGGACCAAGAUCCUUCAUAGCAAAAUCAGAACUGAGACUAGCCAUAAUAGAAUGCCGGAGAGCAUGAGAAGAAGCAGUAAGUAUAAUGUCAUCAACAUAUACCAAAAUGUAUGCCAUAUCUGUCCCCUGUUUGUAGAUGAAUAAGGAGGUGUCACAUCGACUAUUAGUGAAGCCGGGAGAUAAGACAUAGUCAAUCGUAAACAAUCUCAACACGGCCGAAAAUUUCAGAAUGGUCGUGGUGGUGGCCGAAAUACCGAGGGAGGUAAUGGCAGGGGCAACAAGGCUAGCCCGCCAGGACAACAACAACAGAUGCCAUUUUUAUGCAUGUGCAGACAUUAUUUGGGAUUUUUGCCUGGGGUUGUUCUUGAUACAUUAUAACUUUUGGUUGAUUUAUCCUAUGGUAUAUUGAAUUGAUUAAUUUCUAUGCAUGUGCAGACAUUAUUUGGGAUUUUUGCCUGGGGUUGUUCUUGAUACAUUAUAACCACUGGCAUGUGUCCCUAAUCUCAGCAGCUACAUUAAUAUCAGCUUCUAGUUUGUUAUGUAAUUAUUCCCUUUUACGGUUCAGUGUGCAAAAUGUUUCAAAUGGAGACUGAUGCCGUCAUAGGAAAAAAUACAUCCUACCUAACCAUCAUAAAAACUUUUCACUAAAUAUCAUAAAAACUGGUAUGUUUUAUGAUCGAAGGUGUACUACUACAAGUUACUGAAAUAUUAACUAAAUAUUAUUUUCUUACUUUUUUCAUUUCACAUUAUACUAGAAAUCUAGUAUAAAGCUCGUUAAGAAAUUGAGAUUGACCUUUUGGUGCCCACUUUCCAGACUAUUAAUUGUCCCAGCCUUGAGCGCAACAGCCAAGGUAAAAAAGUAUCAAACAAGAUUGUAAUCAGGACUUCUCCACUAACUAACCCUCGUUUCCAUAAGCAAGAGUACUUGAACUGUCCCAUGUCGGCUGAGAAUACUCUGUCACGAAAUAAAGGUCUUUCGCCCCUGAAGGUGGGACUCUCAACUCCUUCACUAAAGCCUGGUUUUUCUGCUUAUAAAAACUGGUAUCAGUUAGACCGGGAACAUGAUACUGGACCCCCUCAAUUCAAAACUCACACUAAUUAAAUUCUUGGAUUACUGAUCCAGGGCUGAUGAUCUGUAGUGCUCUGUGAAAUCCAUCCCCAGGUUCUGCAGAAACUGAACUCACUUCUGUUAGAUGUCAAACUCUCUGGAAGGUAAAUAAUAUCAGCAAAUCUUGAAAACAGAUGUAGUAGCAUGAAAGGCAGAAAAAUAAAAGACGCAGCAGUGAAGUCGAAGCCGG